GAGGGUAUAGCUCAGUGGUAGAGUGUGUGCUUAGCAUGCAUGAGGUCCUGGGUUCAAUCCCCAGCACCUCCA
This 72-nucleotide transfer RNA is filed under the name Camelus bactrianus (Bactrian camel). It matches the Rfam family "tRNA". From Rfam's summary of the family: Transfer RNA (tRNA) molecules are approximately 80 nucleotides in length. Their secondary structure includes four short double-helical elements and three loops (D, anti-codon, and T loops). Further hydrogen bonds mediate the characteristic L-shaped molecular structure. tRNAs have two regions of fundamental functional importance: the anti-codon, which is responsible for specific mRNA codon recognition, and the 3' end, to which the tRNAs corresponding amino acid is attached (by aminoacyl-tRNA synthetases). tRNAs cope with the degeneracy of the genetic code in two manners: having more than one tRNA (with a specific anti-codon) for a particular amino acid; and 'wobble' base-pairing, i.e. permitting non-standard base-pairing at the 3rd anti-codon position. Lineage: Eukaryota; Metazoa; Chordata; Mammalia; Artiodactyla; Camelidae. The record is from Rfam by way of RNAcentral. RNAcentral also lists the same sequence under 2 other names.